This 1024-nucleotide long non-coding RNA is filed under the name Bos mutus (wild yak). RNAcentral describes it as "lncRNA (ENSBMUG00000025523.1)". The record is from RNAcentral. Lineage: Eukaryota; Metazoa; Chordata; Mammalia; Artiodactyla; Bovidae.
CAUAUAUAAAAUGUUGUAUAUGUAUUGUUUAGUAUAUUCAGGAGUGUUCAUGGCUGAAAAUUCAUUGAGGUAUUGUAAUCUCCCUUUCAGAAGUACCCACAGUUUAAGUGAAGAUUUGUUGGGGAUGUGAUAUUAAACCUCAAGGAACAAAUCUCUCCAAGAAGUGGAAAGAUUCAGAGAGCGUCCAGAGGAGGCAGGGUCUGGCCAGGUUUGGGUGUGCGAGUGGUAUCUAAGCACGGGGCACAGAGCACCCCAGGUCCUUGCUUCCACCCUGUGGAUUGAUCUGCUAUUUGCUCGUCUGUUAUUCAUCGACUGUUUACUGAAUGCUCUAAUGUGCCGGGCACCAGGGCUCUGGCAUUGAGGACCAUAGAGCCUGCCUUCAGACACUGCCCUUUAGAGAAGAAGACACAAGAAUGGCAAACAAUCUUGCAGGGUCCUGCCGGACACACAAAAGUGGGGAAGAAUGCAGAAACAAGACUGAAGGCAGGAGGAGAAGGGGUAACAGGGGAUGAAUGGUUGGAUGGCAUCACCAACUCAAUGGAUAUGAGUUUGAGCAAGCUCUGGGAGAUGGGGAAGGACAGAGAAGUCUGGUGUGCUGCAGUCUGUAGGGUCGCAGAGAGUCGGACACAACCGAGUGACUCAACAACAACAAAGCUUACUGAAGGGACUCUGGGCAGUACAGAGGCUUGCUUUUCAGUCAACAUACCUGGAGGCAAUAGGAGGUGAAAUUUGAUGCUGCUGGCCUUGUUCUCUUGUCUGUUUUGUUUUUCAUCUUAGUAAAAAUUAUUUGCAUGCAAAACCAGUAGAAAAUUGACAGGUCAGAAUCUGUUCAGAAGAGUUGUCAUGUCAGACCCUGUUUUAGAAAGAGCUGAUGGCUGGAAGUCAAAGACACUGAUUUUAUGAGUGUUCACUGCAGCCCUUCUCCCACCCUGGGACUCAGUUUCCUACUCUAUACAUUUGGGGAUUGACCAGCUUUCAAAGACCUUUAUAGUUCUUAUGCUCUUUGGUUCUUUAAAAGGAAGCC